Molecule: signal recognition particle RNA, 280 nt
Filed under: Chinchilla lanigera (long-tailed chinchilla)
Lineage: Eukaryota; Metazoa; Chordata; Mammalia; Rodentia; Chinchillidae
Description: Metazoan signal recognition particle RNA (ENSCLAG00000022012.1)
Rfam family: Metazoan signal recognition particle RNA
About the family: The signal recognition particle (SRP) is a universally conserved ribonucleoprotein. It is involved in the co-translational targeting of proteins to membranes.
Source: RNAcentral
GUCGGGUACUAAGGUGCACGCCUGUAGUCCCAGCUACUCGGGAGGCUGAGGUGGGAGAAUCCCUUGAGUCCAGGAGUUCUGGGCUGCAGUGUGCAAUGCGGAUUUGGAGUAGCAUUAAGUUAGGCAUCAAUAUAGUGACCUGCCAGAAGAGGGGGCAACCAGGUUGCCUAAGGAGGGGUGAACCGGCCCAGGUUGAAAACGGUACAGGUCAAAACUGCCAUGCUGAAAUUAACCUCAGCAAUAAUAUCUAGACAUGAAGAAGAAUUUCAAGCACACUUUU